GACGAACGCUGGCGGCGUGCCUAAUACAUGCAAGUAGAACGCCGAAGGAGGAGCUUGCUUCUCUGGAUGAGUUGCGAACGGGUGAGUAACGCGUAGGUAACCUGCCUGGUAGCGGGGGAUAACUAUUGGAAACGAUAGCUAAUACCGCAUAAUAGUAGAUGUUGCAUGACAUUUGCUUAAAAGGUGCAAUUGCAUCACUACCAGAUGGACCUGCGUUGUAUUAGCUAGUUGGUGAGGUAACGGCUCACCAAGGCGACGAUACAUAGCCGACCUGAGAGGGUGAUCGGCCACACUGGGACUGAGACACGGCCCAGACUCCUACGGGAGGCAGCAGUAGGGAAUCUUCGGCAAUGGACGGAAGUCUGACCGAGCAACGCCGCGUGAGUGAAGAAGGUUUUCGGAUCGUAAAGCUCUGUUGUAAGAGGAGAACGAGUGUGAGAGUGGAAAGUUCACACUGUGACGGUAGCUUACCAGAAAGGGACGGCUAACUACGUG
Molecule: ribosomal RNA, 495 nt
Filed under: uncultured bacterium
Lineage: Bacteria
Description: partial 16S ribosomal RNA
Rfam family: Bacterial small subunit ribosomal RNA
Source: RNAcentral